UCUGGCUAAGAUAUGAUAUUUUGGCCGGAAUUUACCAGAAAUUCUAAAAAAACAGUCAAUUUUCAUGGCUGUCAUGGGUGCUGCUGCAAGUAGUAGUGCCAGGCGUGAGAGGUUGCCAGCGCUUCAUCAGCAGCAACCCAUAGCUGCUGCUGAAGCCUCACGCCAGCACGGCCAGGCGCUGCUGGAAGCCUACCUUGAGGAAGAAGCCUCACGUUGGAGGUUGCACAGU
RNAcentral lists this long non-coding RNA (229 nucleotides) under Populus tremula. RNAcentral's name for it is "long non-coding RNA (PTRE_LNC000611)". Lineage: Eukaryota; Viridiplantae; Streptophyta; Magnoliopsida; Malpighiales; Salicaceae. The record is from RNAcentral.